RNAcentral lists this transfer RNA (75 nucleotides) under Deinococcus metalli. RNAcentral's name for it is "tRNA-Glu". It matches the Rfam family "tRNA". From Rfam's summary of the family: Transfer RNA (tRNA) molecules are approximately 80 nucleotides in length. Their secondary structure includes four short double-helical elements and three loops (D, anti-codon, and T loops). Lineage: Bacteria; Thermotogati; Deinococcota; Deinococci; Deinococcales; Deinococcaceae. The record is from RNAcentral.
GCUCCCAUCGUCCAGUGGUCAGGACGCUCGGCCUUCAACCAGGAAACGCCGGUUCAAUUCCGGCUGGAAGUACCA